GACAGAGGAGCCAAGCGUUGUCCGGAUUGACUGGGCGUAAAGCGCACGCAGGCGGCUGUGCACGUGGGGUGUGAAAGCUGGCGGCUUAACUGCCAGACGCCACCUCAUACGGCACGGCUCGAGCCCGUGAGAGGUCCACGGAAUUGCCGGUGUAGUGGUGAAAUGCGUAGAGAUCGGCAGGAACACCCAGGGGGAAACCAGUGGACUGGCACGAUGCUGACGCUCAGGUGCGAAAGCGUGGGGAGCGAACCGG
RNAcentral lists this ribosomal RNA (253 nucleotides) under uncultured bacterium. RNAcentral describes it as "partial 16S ribosomal RNA". It matches the Rfam family "Bacterial small subunit ribosomal RNA", at positions 524 to 776 of the family's 1533-position model. The record is from RNAcentral.